Molecule: ribosomal RNA, 440 nt
Filed under: uncultured bacterium
Lineage: Bacteria
Description: partial 16S ribosomal RNA
Rfam family: Bacterial small subunit ribosomal RNA
Source: RNAcentral
CCUACGGGAGGCAGCAGUGGGGAAUAUUGCACAAUGGGGGAAACCCUGAUGCAGCGACGCCGCGUGAGUGAAGAAGGAAUUCGUUAUGUAAAGCCCUAUCAGUCGGGAAGCAAUUGACGGUACCUGAGUAAGAAGCCCCGGCUAACUACGUGCCAGCAGCCGCGGUCAUACGUAGGGGGCAAGCGUUAUCCGGAUUUACUGGGGGUAAAGGGAGCGUAGACGGCAGUGCAAGUCUGGAGGGAAAGGCGGGGGCUCAACCCCCGGACUGCUCUGGAAACUGUCCGGCUGGAGUGCAGGAGAGGUAAGUGGAAUGCGUAGUGUAGCGGGGAAAUGCGUAGAUAUUAGGAGGAACACCAGUGGCGAAGGCGGCUUACUGGACUGUAACUGACGUUGAGGCUCGAAAGCGUGGGGAGCAAACAGGAUUAGAUACCCUAGUAGUC